CCUACGGGUGGCUGCAGUGGGGAAUAUUGCACAAUGGGGGCAACCCUGAUGCAGCGACGCCGCGUGAGCGAAGAAGUAUUUCUGUGUGUAAAGCUCUAUCAGCAGGGAAGAAAAUGACGGUACCUGUGUAAGAAGCUCCGGCUAAAUACGUGCCAGCAGCCGCGGUAAUACGCAUGGAGCAAGCGUUAUCCGGAUUUACUGGGCGUAAAGGGAGCGUAGGCGGCCUGACAAGUCUGAUGUGAAAUACCGGGGCUCAACCCCGGUGCUGCAUGUGAGACUGGCAGGCUGGAGUGGCGGAGAGGCAGGCGGAAUUGCUGGUGUAGCGGUGAAAUGCGUAGAGAUUAGAAAGAACACCAAUGGCGAAGGCGGCCUGCUGGGCGGUGACUGACGCUGAGGCUCGAAAGCGUGGGGAGCAAACAGGAUUAGAUACCCGGGUAGUC
RNAcentral lists this ribosomal RNA (440 nucleotides) under uncultured bacterium. RNAcentral's name for it is "partial 16S ribosomal RNA". It matches the Rfam family "Bacterial small subunit ribosomal RNA", at positions 338 to 795 of the family's 1533-position model. The record is from RNAcentral.